AAUUUUGGGGUCUAGUAAUUUAUACAGCCAAGACAUUUUAACGCUAUAACAAAAAUAGUAAAUAUUAGGCAUCUUAAGACCGCCAUCACAGUGUUCGGACAUAACCACUGUUCUUUUCACUUUAUCUGGUUUUCCUUUCCAUAAAAAAAUUGAAAAAUAUAUUUUGAAUCUCCUUCAAAACCCCAUCUGGGGGGUUAGGGAGGACAGUCAGAACUUGAACCAAAAUGGGAAGUGCUAAAGUUUUAAUCACAACCACCCUCCCAAUAUAUGUUAGUUCUCUAUAAGCCCAAGUAUUAAGAAGUGACUUGAUACUGUUUAUCUUGGCUGUAAAAUUACAUAGAGUCUUAUCCCUUUUAGCAAGCUCAAACCAUAUACCUAAUAGUUUGAACCUCCCAGAAAGGUUUCCAAACAAGAUUUUUUUCUGGUAAAAGUUUUUCCAUACUACCCUUUUUUGACCCAAUCCAUAUGGCUUCAGUUUUGUCAACCUAAGUCCAGCACAUUCUGAAAAUU
RNAcentral lists this long non-coding RNA (510 nucleotides) under Mytilus galloprovincialis (Mediterranean mussel). The record is from RNAcentral. Lineage: Eukaryota; Metazoa; Mollusca; Bivalvia; Mytilida; Mytilidae.